UGCCAGCCGCCGCGGUAAUACGGAGGGGGUUAGCGUUGUUCGGAAUUACUGGGUGUAAAGAGCAUGUAGGCGGAUGAAUUAGUCAGAGGUGAAAGCCCCGAGCUCAACUCGGGAACUGCCUUUGAUACUGUUCAUCUUGAGUCCGAGAGAGGCUAGUGGAAUUCCCAGUGUAGAGGUGAAAUUCGUAGAUAUUGGGAAGAACACCAGUGGCGAAGGCGGCUAACUGGCUCGGUACUGACGCUGAGAUGCGAAAGCGUGGGGAGCAAACAGGAUUAGAUA
This 279-nucleotide ribosomal RNA is filed under the name uncultured bacterium. Its description in RNAcentral is "partial 16S ribosomal RNA". It matches the Rfam family "Bacterial small subunit ribosomal RNA", at positions 506 to 784 of the family's 1533-position model. The record is from RNAcentral.